This 969-nucleotide long non-coding RNA is filed under the name Cricetulus griseus (Chinese hamster). Its description in RNAcentral is "lncRNA (ENSCGRG00015041507.1)". The record is from RNAcentral. Lineage: Eukaryota; Metazoa; Chordata; Mammalia; Rodentia; Cricetidae.
GUGAAAGACCCGAGCUAACAUGGGGUUAGUUCGUUAAAUUACAAUAAAGCCUCGUGCAGUUUGCAGCAAGCUCUCGAAUCCGCCUGGUGAUUGGGGUGACCGCGAACCUGGCCUGAGACCCCGGAUACUUGAGUUUUCGGGGGUCUAACAUUUUGGGGGCUCGUCCGGGAUUUGCGACCACCCUUCACCUGAGUGGAUUCGAUCUUGGAGGUAAGAUGAUUCGAGCUCGAAACUUAUAUAUGUUCAAUGUUCAAUGUUUGCUUGUUUUGUCUCUUGCUGCUUUGUUUGGUGCCAUGAUUUGUAUUUGAUCUGCGCAGAAUUUGUAUUUGUAAUUCGGACUUCUGGGGAUGACCCUAAAGUCCUGCCCUGGAUGAAAGUCCGAGGGUUGCUUAAUUUGAUCUGCGCAGAAUUUGUAAUUUGUAUUUGAUCUGCGCAGAAUUUGUAAUUGAACCAUAGGGUAAGCAGACUUGCGAGAACCUUGGUUCCACUCUGGAUGAAAGUCCAAGGUUUGGUUGUAAUUUUGGUUUGGGGCACCAUUUCUUUGCCUCGGUUUGUCCUGUCUAAUGUUUGUGCUGUCUAAUGUGCUGUCAUUUGUGUUAUGUGUUUCUUAAGCAUCUCUUUCUGUCCCACAUUGCCCAUGCACGUGGCAUGCAUGGGUCAGGGGUCUUUUCUUGUUGCCCUAAGCACAUGGCACGGGAAAGGAGUUCUGCCAUGUGUCACGGGUUAGAAUGUGUUAUGUUGGAGUCCCCCGAUGCUGCUUUUCUGAACUCGAACCACUGCUGCAGCCCUUACAGCUGAGCCUGGCCCAUGUAGUUUAUAAUGUCAGACAGACUGCCAGAUCUGGACAGUGACCCAAAGUCUCCAAAGAAGAUUACGAGGCACCUCAGUUCCUGCACCUGGACCAGUGAGCGAGAUGCUCAGAUGUGAAACCUGCCGCCUGCCAGAACCUGGCCAAGAAUGUGGACAAAG